This 441-nucleotide ribosomal RNA is filed under the name uncultured bacterium. RNAcentral's name for it is "bacterial SSU rRNA". It matches the Rfam family "Bacterial small subunit ribosomal RNA", at positions 338 to 795 of the family's 1533-position model. The record is from RNAcentral.
CCUACGGGAUGCACCAGUGGGGAAUCUUGGACAAUGGGCGAAAGCCCGAUCCAGCAAUAUCGCGUGAGUGAAGAAGGGCAAUGCCGCUUGUAAAGCUCUUUCGUCGAGUGCGCGAUCAUGACAGGACUCGAGGAAGAAGCCCCGGCUAACUCCGUGCCAGCAGCCGAGGUAAGACGGGGGGGCAAGUGUUCUUCGGAAUGACUGGGCGUAAAGGGCACGUAGGCGGUAAAUCGGGUUGAGAGUGAAAGUCGCCAAAAACUGGCGGAAGACUCUCGAAUCCAAUUCACUUGAGUGAGACAGAGGAGAGUGGAAUUUCGUGUGUAGGGGUGAGAUCCGGAGAUCUACGAAGGAACGCCAAAAGCGAAGGCAGCUCUCUGGGUCCCUACCGACGCUGGAGUGCGAAAGCAUGGGGAGCGAACGGGAUUAGAUACCCUAGUAGUC